UACGUAGGGUGCGAGCGUUGUCCGGAAUUACUGGGCGUAAAGAGCUCGUAGGUGGUUUGUCGCGUUGUUCGUGAAAACUCACAGCUCAACUGUGGGCGUGCGGGCGAUACGGGCAGACUGGAGUACUGCAGGGGAGACUGGAAUUCCUGGUGUAGCGGUGGAAUGCGCAGAUAUCAGGAGGAACACCGGUGGCGAAGGCGGGUCUCUGGGCGGUAACUGACGCUGAGGAGCGAAAGCGUGGGGAGCGAACAGG
This 253-nucleotide ribosomal RNA is filed under the name uncultured bacterium. RNAcentral describes it as "partial 16S ribosomal RNA". It matches the Rfam family "Bacterial small subunit ribosomal RNA", at positions 524 to 776 of the family's 1533-position model. The record is from RNAcentral.